UUGAUUUGAGCGAUCCGAACAGACCGACUAAGCUCGGUGAAGUAUACUGUGAAUUAUACGACAAUCAAUGGACAGAUGCUUUUGAAGCUCUGAAGAAAGCAGGUCAUGAGGAACAAUUUGCAAUUGAGACUUUGGCACUUACUUUACAGCAUGUGAUGCAGUUUUGUAAAAGUAAUGCGGAGCUUUUGCUGAAAAAGUCAUCACACGCUCUUAACCUGUUGUUUGAAGGUGAAAAAAGUCCGGAAAAUGAAAAGGU
Ruditapes philippinarum (Manila clam) is the source of this 256-nucleotide long non-coding RNA. RefSeq lists it as uncharacterized. The transcript has 2 exons. NCBI's taxonomy places the organism in Eukaryota, Metazoa, Mollusca, Bivalvia, Venerida, Veneridae. The record is from RefSeq and is a predicted model, not a curated record.